This 380-nucleotide long non-coding RNA is filed under the name Meriones unguiculatus (Mongolian gerbil). Its description in RNAcentral is "lncRNA (ENSMUGG00000022444.1)". The record is from RNAcentral. Lineage: Eukaryota; Metazoa; Chordata; Mammalia; Rodentia; Muridae.
GCUUGAAAGUUGCUCGCCCGCUGCCGCGGCGCCGCGAGGCUCCGCGGGCUCCGCCCCCUCAGGGCACCUGAAGACGCCGGGCGAGCGAGCGAGCGGCCCGCAGUGUCGGCUCCCGCCUGCCCCCGAGGUCGCCGUCCGCGCCGGCGCCGUCCUCCGAAUAACGAAAGAUCCCGGAAAGUUGGAGAAGAUAAAGUAUAUUCGGUAUCCAGAUCAGCAGAUCAAUAGAGCGGACUUCUCACUGACUCGCCCGAAGUCCUGUGGCAAGUCCUGGAGCCCUGCAGUUGGGAAAGGUAAUUUCCUGAGAUUGUAAACUAUCAUUCAUCCCUGUGUGAUGGCACCUGGCUGGCAAUCUUAGCACUCAGGUGGAGGCAAUAGCCCCG